Molecule: small nuclear RNA, 99 nt
Filed under: Canis lupus familiaris (dog)
Lineage: Eukaryota; Metazoa; Chordata; Mammalia; Carnivora; Canidae
Also listed under: 1 other name
Source: RNAcentral
CACACUACGUAUGUGCCAUUCUCACUUCAAAAAACAAUACAGAGAAGAUUAAUAUCACCCUGCACAAAGAUGACAUGCAAAUUCCUGAAGCAUACUUUU